RNAcentral lists this transfer RNA (95 nucleotides) under Bacteroidia bacterium. RNAcentral's name for it is "tRNA-Leu". Lineage: Bacteria; Pseudomonadati; Bacteroidota; Bacteroidia. The record is from RNAcentral.
UUGUUAGGUAUUAUAUCAGCAGAAGAUUGCGGGUCAAGCCCGCAAUGACGAUGUGUUUCAUUGUAGGGGCGGGUUUGAAACCCGCCCCUACGGUC